UGGGGAAUUUUGGACAAUGGGCGCAAGCCUGAUCCAGCAAUGCCGCGUGAGUGAAGAAGGCCUUCGGGUUGUAAAGCUCUUUUGUCAGGGAAGAAACGGCUGAGGAUAAUACCUUCGGCUAAUGACGGUACCUGAAGAAUAAGCACCGGCUAACUACGUGCCAGCAGCCGCGGUAAUACGUAGGGUGCAAGCGUUAAUCGGAAUUACUGGGCGUAAAGCGUGCGCAGGCGGUUUUGUAAGUCUGACGUGAAAUCCCCGGGCUCAACCUGGGAAUUGCGUUGGAGACUGCAAGGCUGGAGUCUGGCAGAGGGGGGUAGAAUUCCACGUGUAGCAGUGAAAUGCGUAGAGAUGUGGAGGAACACCGAUGGCGAAGGCAGCCCCCUGGGUCAAGACUGACGCUCAUGCACGAAAGCGUGGGGAGCAAACA
This 427-nucleotide ribosomal RNA is filed under the name uncultured Massilia sp. Its description in RNAcentral is "bacterial SSU rRNA". It matches the Rfam family "Bacterial small subunit ribosomal RNA", at positions 355 to 774 of the family's 1533-position model. The record is from RNAcentral. RNAcentral also lists the same sequence under 1 other name. Lineage: Bacteria; Pseudomonadati; Pseudomonadota; Betaproteobacteria; Burkholderiales; Oxalobacteraceae.